RNAcentral lists this unclassified non-coding RNA (203 nucleotides) under soil metagenome. RNAcentral describes it as "partial internal transcribed spacer 1". The record is from RNAcentral.
CCGAGUUUACAACUCCCAAACCCAAGUGUGAACGUUACCAAACUGUUGCCUCGGCGGGAUCUCUGCCCCGGGUGCGUCGCAGCCCCGGACCAAGGCGCCCGCCGGAGGACCAACCAAAACUCUUAUUGUAUACCCCCUCGCGGGUUUUUUUUUAUAAUCUGAGCCUUCUCGGCGCCUCUCGUAGGCGUUUCGAAAAUGAAUCA